This 497-nucleotide ribosomal RNA is filed under the name uncultured bacterium. RNAcentral's name for it is "partial 16S ribosomal RNA". It matches the Rfam family "Bacterial small subunit ribosomal RNA", at positions 28 to 507 of the family's 1533-position model. The record is from RNAcentral.
GACGAACGCUGGCGGCGUGCCUAAUACAUGCAAGUUGAGCGCUGAAGGUUGGUACUUGUACCAACUGGAUGAGCAGCGAACGGGUGAGUAACGCGUGGGGAAUCUGCCUUUGAGCGGGGGACAACAUUUGGAAACGAAUGCUGAUACCGCAUAAAAACUUUAAACACAAGUUUUAAGUUUGAAAGAUGCAAUUGCAUCACUCAAAGAUGAUCCCGCGUUGUAUUAGCUAGUUGGUGAGGUAAAGGCUCACCAAGGCGAUGAUACAUAGCCGACCUGAGAGGGUGAUCGGCCACAUUGGGACUGAGACACGGCCCAAACUCCUAUGGGAGGCAGCAGUAGGGAAUCUUCGGCAAUGGACGAAAGUCUGACCGAGCAACGCCGCGUGAGUGAAGAAGGUUGUCGGAUCGUAAAACUCUGUUGGUAGAGAAGAACGUUGGUGAGAGUGGAAAGCUCAUCAAGUGACGGUAACUACCCAGAAAGGGACGGCUAACUACGUG